This 492-nucleotide ribosomal RNA is filed under the name uncultured bacterium. RNAcentral's name for it is "partial 16S ribosomal RNA". It matches the Rfam family "Bacterial small subunit ribosomal RNA", at positions 29 to 507 of the family's 1533-position model. The record is from RNAcentral.
AGUGAACGCUGGCGGUAGGCCUAACACAUGCGAGUCGAACGGCAGCAUAGUAAGAGCUUGCUCUUACGGGUGGCGAGUGGCGGACGGGUGAGGAAUACAUCGGAAUCUACUUUUUCGUGGGGGAUAACGUAGGGAAACUUACGCUAAUACCGCAUACGACCUACGGGUGAAAGCAGGGGAUCUUCGGACCUUGCGCGAUUGAAUGAGCCGAUGUCGGAUUAGCUAGUUGGCGGGGUAAAGGCCCACCAAGGCGACGAUCCGUAGCUGGUCUGAGAGGAUGAUCAGCCACACUGGAACUGAGACACGGUCCAGACUCCUACGGGAGGCAGCAGUGGGGAAUAUUGGACAAUGGGCGCAAGCCUGAUCCAGCCAUACCGCGUGGGUGAAGAAAGCCUUCGGGUUGUAAAGCCCUUUUGUUGGGAAAGAAAAGCAGCAGGUUAAUACCCCGCUGUUCUGACGGUACCCAAAGAAUAAGCACCGGCUAACUUCGUG